RNAcentral lists this ribosomal RNA (497 nucleotides) under uncultured bacterium. RNAcentral describes it as "partial 16S ribosomal RNA". It matches the Rfam family "Bacterial small subunit ribosomal RNA", at positions 28 to 507 of the family's 1533-position model. The record is from RNAcentral.
GAUGAACGCUGGCGGCGUGCCUAAUACAUGCAAGUCGAGCGAACGGACGAGAAGCUUGCUUCUCUGAUGUUAGCGGCGGACGGGUGAGUAACACGUGGAUAACCUACCUAUAAGACUGGGAUAACUUCGGGAAACCGUAGCAAAUACCGGAUAAUAUUUUGAACCGCAUGGUUCAAAAGUGAAAGACGGUCUUGCUGUCACUUAUAGAUGGAUCCGCGCUGCAUUAGCUAGUUGGUAAGGUAACGGCUUACCAAGGCAACGAUGCAUAGCCGACCUGAGAGGGUGAUCGGCCACACUGGAACUGAGACACGGUCCAGACUCCUACGGGAGGCAGCAGUAGGGAAUCUUCCGCAAUAGGCGAAAGCCUGACAGAGCAACGGCGCGUGAGUGAUGAAGGUCUUCGGAUCGUAAAACUCUGUUAUUAGGGAAGAACAUAUGUGUAAGUAACUGUGCACAUCUUGACGGUACCUAAUCAGAAAGCCACGGCUAACUACGUG